RNAcentral lists this ribosomal RNA (490 nucleotides) under uncultured organism. RNAcentral describes it as "bacterial SSU rRNA". It matches the Rfam family "Bacterial small subunit ribosomal RNA", at positions 28 to 507 of the family's 1533-position model. The record is from RNAcentral.
GAUGAACGCUAGCUACAGGCUUAACACAUGCAAGUCGAGGGGAAACGGGGAGACAGCUUGCUGUCUCUGCCGUCGACCGGCGCACGGGUGAGUAACGCGUAUCCAACCUGCCACCUAGUGGAGGAUAGCCUUUCGAAAGAAAGGAUAAUACUCCAUGUACUCCUUUAAGGACAUCUGCGAAGGAGGAAAGAUUAAUCGCUGGGUGAUGGGGAUGCGUCUGAUUAGGCAGUUGGCGGGGUAACGGCCCACCAAACCGACGAUCAGUAGGGGUUCUGAGAGGAAGGUCCCCCACAUUGGAACUGAGACACGGUCCAAACUCCUACGGGAGGCAGCAGUGAGGAAUAUUGGUCAAUGGACGGAAGUCUGAACCAGCCAAGUAGCGUGCAGGACGACGGCCCUAUGGGUUGUAAACUGCUUUUAUGCGGGGGUAAAGUGAGUGACGUGUCAUUCAUUGCAAGUACCGCAAGAAUAAGGACCGGCUAAUUCCGUG